CCUACGGGAUGCAGCAGUGGGGUAUAUUGCACAAUGGGGGGAACCCUGAUGCAGCGACGCCGCGUGGGUGAAGGAGCGUUUCGGCGCGUCAAGCCCUAUCGGCAGGGAAGAAGGAGGACGGUACCUGACUAAGAAUCCCCGGCUAACUACGUGCCAGCAGCCGCGGUAAUACGUCGGGGGCAAGCGUUAUCCGGAUUUACUGGGUGUAAAGGGUGCGCAGACGGCAGCGCAAGCAAGGCGGGAAAGCCCGGGGACAAACCCCGGGACUGCUCUUGUCACUGCGCGGCUGGAGUGCAGGAGGGGCAGGCGGAAUUCGUGGUGUAGCGGUGAAAUGCGUAGAUAUCAGGAGGAACACCGGUGGCGAAGGCGGCCUGCUGGACUGCGACUGACGUUGAGGCCCGAAAGCGUGGGGAGCAAACAGGAUUAGAUACCCUAGUAGUC
RNAcentral lists this ribosomal RNA (441 nucleotides) under uncultured bacterium. Its description in RNAcentral is "partial 16S ribosomal RNA". It matches the Rfam family "Bacterial small subunit ribosomal RNA", at positions 338 to 795 of the family's 1533-position model. The record is from RNAcentral.